Molecule: long non-coding RNA, 882 nt
Organism: Xiphophorus couchianus (Monterrey platyfish)
Lineage: Eukaryota; Metazoa; Chordata; Actinopteri; Cyprinodontiformes; Poeciliidae
Exons: 2
Source: RefSeq, a predicted model, not a curated record
AUUUCUGUAUGUGAUGACAACAUCUGACAUACACACAUGAAAACCAGAGGGCAGCAGAUCAUGUGAAAAUAUAAUAUUUGUGUCAUUCUCAAUACUUUGACCAUGACUGUACAUAAAGGAGGAACAGGAGGGAGUCUGCAUUAGUCUGGGUGGAGAGCAGCUCUGAGAGAACGAGGAGAGUCAUGCCUUCAAGUUUUCAGUCACUGCUACUGCCAUAAAGAAAACACAGAUUCCGAAAUGGGGCCAACCUCGCUGGAGAAUAAGGAAUGUUUGACUGAGAAGAAAAAUAUGUGCUCACGAAGGAAAGUCCAGACAGAAUUGAAGCUUAACUGUGAAGACAUUGAUAAAACAUUCACCGGAAAAGAAGCUUUAACAAGGCAUGAGAAGAUCCACACAGGACAGAAAGAUCUUUGUUGUGACCUUUACAGAGUCAGAUUCAGCUGCAAAUCAUAUUUAAACGCACAUGUGAGGAUCCACACAGGACAGAAACCUUUCUGUUGUGAACCUUGUGGACACAGAUGCAAGCAGAAGUCACAUUUAAACACACACGAGAAACCACACCGGAGAGAAACCUUUCUGCUGUGAUAUCUGUGGUAAUAGAUUUGUCGAAAAAUCCUGUUUAAACAGACACAUGAGAAUUCACACAGGAGAGAAACCUUUCUGUUGUGUUGUCUGUGGACAAAGAUUUGGCCGAAAAUCACAUGUAAGCACACACAUGAGAAUUCACACAGGAGAGAAGCCUUUCUGUUGUGAACUUUGCGGACAUGGGUUCAGCGGAAAAUCACACUUAAACACACAAGAGAAUUCAUACAAGAGAGAAGCCUUUCUGUUGUGAUCUCUAUGGACACACAUUUACUGAAAAAUCUAGUUUAACCAAACACA